This 87-nucleotide transfer RNA is filed under the name Erythrobacter sp. Its description in RNAcentral is "tRNA-Leu". It matches the Rfam family "tRNA". Rfam says of the family: Transfer RNA (tRNA) molecules are approximately 80 nucleotides in length. The record is from RNAcentral. RNAcentral also lists the same sequence under 1 other name. Lineage: Bacteria; Pseudomonadati; Pseudomonadota; Alphaproteobacteria; Sphingomonadales; Erythrobacteraceae.
GCGGUCGUGGCGGAAUUGGUAGACGCGCAACGUUGAGGUCGUUGUGGGCUAACGCCCGUGGAAGUUCGAGUCUUCUCGACCGCACCA